This 518-nucleotide ribosomal RNA is filed under the name uncultured bacterium. RNAcentral's name for it is "bacterial SSU rRNA". It matches the Rfam family "Bacterial small subunit ribosomal RNA", at positions 235 to 770 of the family's 1533-position model. The record is from RNAcentral.
GGCCGAUUAGCUAGUUGGCGGGGUAACGGCCCACCAAGGCGAAGAUCGGUAGCCGGCCUGAGAGGGCACACGGCCACACUGGCACUGAAACACGGGCCAGACUCCUACGGGAGGCAGCAGUGGGGAAUCUUGCACAAUGGAGGAAACUCUGAUGCAGCGACGCCGCGUGAGCGAUGAAGCCCUUCGGGGUGUAAAGCUCUUUCGACGGGAACGAUAAUGACGGUACCCGAAGAAGAAGCUGCGGCUAACUACGUGCCAGCAGCCGCGGUAAUACGUAGGCAGCGAGCGUUGUUCGGAAUUACUGGGCGUAAAGAGUGUGUAGGCGGUGUUCUAAGUCUGUUGUGAAAUCUCCCGGCUUAACUGGGAGGGUGCGGCGGAGACUGGAAUGCUAGAGUAUGGGAGAGGUAAGCGGAAUUCCUGGUGUAGCGGUGAAAUGCGUAGAUAUCAGGAGGAACACCUGUGGUGUAGACAGCUUACUGGACCAUGACUGACGCUGAGACACGAAAGCGUGGGUAGCA